This is a long non-coding RNA of Carassius gibelio (silver crucian carp), 635 nucleotides long. RefSeq lists it as uncharacterized. NCBI's taxonomy places the organism in Eukaryota, Metazoa, Chordata, Actinopteri, Cypriniformes, Cyprinidae. The transcript has 3 exons. The record is from RefSeq and is a predicted model, not a curated record.
GUUUUACUUUAGCACUAGGGCCUUAUCUUUGAGAUAGUUUAAACUAAAAUGUAGGGGAAUAGCAAUAUUAAUUCGUGUCGAUACUUGGGAAAAUAUUAGUUGAAAUAUAUAACAUUUAAAACAUGGGUCCGUGGUCUACUUGGAUGUCUUUACACACACCACUUUCCUGCAUGGGGACAAGAAACAGUCUUAGAAACCUUAGAUUCAAAACCAGCUAAACUACAGCUUCCACAGUCUCAAAAAACUCUCUCUCUGUACAGGCCAGAAGUUCCUCCAUGUCAUCUUUUCCUCCCUCAUCCUCUUUGGAGGAGCAAUGUUUCAUUUGAUGCCUUUCUCUGUACUGACCUUCCAGAAUCUUUUCUCUCUUGGUCUCACGUUCAAACAUCUGAAAUGAAGUAAAAAUCCACUCCAACAGCUCAGCUGUCCAACUGCUUUACUAAAAUCUUAUGUCAAUAUGAAUUUGAAACUGUGAAUGUGUUUGCAUAAGUGAAGGAAGUUAUGGGGUGUUGCCUUUGGUGUGAGAGACCUGGGUUCGAAUCCACUGUGAGACACUAAUGUGUCCCUGAGCAAGACACUUAACCCCUAGUUGCUCCAGAGGCAUGUGACCUCUGACAUAUAUAGCAAUUGUAAGUCGC